UGAAGCAAAUGGAUAUUUCCAAGUACUCUAAAUUGCAAAAAUUAAAGCAUAUUGAUACUUUCAAAUUAUUCUCCUUUAUUUAAAUUCACUGUAGCACUGGAAAUUGAUUACAAGACUUCCAGAUAUGCCCAGGAAGGGAUGGCAUUGAGACUGAAGGAAGCCACAACCUGCUCUCAUAGUCUACAUGCUCAGGCGAGAGUAGAGAACUGUACCUGCAUGCCCAGCUGACAAUCUUUUUCCUGCGUCUUCUACCUCCCAAAAGAACAAAUUCACUCCUUUGGAUUGAAGCACCAAUGAACUGUGAGUUUCACGGUAUCAUUUAGCAUGCAUGUUUCAGGCCACAGACAUAUAUGUUUUAGCAGUCGGUAUUGACGAGUUACAAAUCACUAGUUCAAAAAAAUGUGGCUCCUGAUCAGAUCAUUGUAAAUUUUCUCCAUCCCUGGCUUUGAGGAAAAACAAGAAAACAAGCCACAGACCCACGGCUUCAAAGUGUUAUUCACCACCAUUAUCUGCAGCUUGGACUGCACCCCAAGGAGCUGUGAGAUGGGCCAGGAGGAGACCUGAUCCAAGGACUCCACAUACACCACUAGCUAUGUAUUCAUGAAGCUUUACCUUGUUUCUAUGAUAGGAUUUGGCCCAGUGUUAAUUUCUCUAUAAUAUUCCUUUGUAUUUUGAAAAUCAUAAAUAAUCAUUUGUAUCACACAAAAGAUAUCCUGAAAUACAGGAGUGCGGGGCAAAUAUAAACUUUCUAUUAGCUUUUUUAAUUAGAAGAAACUGUAGCCUAAGAGCUGCAAACAUUAAUGGUUGGGCAAAACUGCCUGUUCGAGAAUCACCCUGGCCAACUGUUUCUUAUUCUCUCUGAGCCUCGGUUUUCUUAUUAGAAAUUUCAGAAUUAAUCUCUGCUUUAUCUAUUAUUACAACACUAAAGCUUUUAGCGCACUGCCUGCUGCAUGCUCAGCUCUCGGGAAAGAGGACCUGCUAACGUCUUUUAAGACUUUUCAAAAGCUUUCAUUCUGUUACCUUAGCUUUUUACCGUAUUAUUUUCUUUAACACUCACCAUUAGUGCCAAAGAUAAUAAUUAGCCACUGAUGACAGUUGUAAUGCAAACAAUAAAAAUGACCUCAUAAUAGUUCUAAUGGGAGGAGUUUCCGUUCUGAGUGGCUUAGACACUACUGUUAGUGGAAAGUUUUACCCCUCUCCAGGCCAAGGAGCAGAGAAAAAGAAUCUGAUGCUUGUGUUAAAAAAAAAACCUGCUUCUCAAUAACUAAUUUGCUUCAUAUUUUAUAUUUUAUUACUUUGAACAACUUUACUUGUAAUAAUGCUUCCUCCAAGUAUUCAAUUCAAUGACUAUUGCAAGAUAUAAUUUAAUCGUAGCAUAAGACUCUUAUUUUAGUUCACUUCAUAACAAGAUAGGAAACCAAUUAACCCAACUAAUUUAGUAACAAAUUUAUUAUAAUAAAAAUAGGAAUUGGUAUGAAUCAUAGAUUAUCCAAAAUCAUUUUUAAGGAAAUAAAUAUAUAUGUGUGUGUGCGUGUGUGUGUGUUAAUGUCAACUGGGAGUAGAAAUGAACUAGACAACUGAUUCCAGGGUUAGAGAUUAUAGCCAGAGUUCUACUUUAAUGGAAUUUUUUAUUAGUAUGGGAAAAGAAUAUAGAAUUUUUAACCCAGAGAAAUAACCACUCUGACACUUAGGCCCAAAAGGCUAAAGAGGACUAUCCUUAUAUCAACCAAACAUGGUGACCUCAUUAUGCCUGUCGUCAGCGUAAUCCUUAGCCAUUAGCUGAGAUAUAGAUUUUUGUACAUGAGGGUAUUGUUCUCCCUAUGAAAGAAGUGCCUUUAGAAACAUUUCCGAUAAUUUAUUGUAAAAGCGUCUUGGUGUAGCUGUGGGGUAGUGGUAAUAGUGUGGAGGUAGGGAGAAAGCUAUUUUUAAGACUCUAAAAUGACUUUUUGAUGCUGAGUAUAAAAUAGCCUGAUUUGAACUUGGGAAUUCCUGGAGCGUUUCUUCUUGAAACGGAAUGAACUCUUCUCUUGAGGAGUUGUGUAGAUGAAUGAAAAGAUCAUGGUAGUUGUUGGCUGUGGUGAAGACGCCAUGUGUACUUACACAAGGCAUUGUGUGUAGGCUGUAUAUACACAUGUGCCAAUGUCCAUGGAUGCAUGUUUACACAGUAUAUGUCUGUAUUUUGGCAAAGCGUGCAUGCUGUGAAGCACCAUCUAGAUGUACCCUUCAUGUUUCACAUACAUCCCACACAUUAGUUCUCUCUAAUGGUAGCCCUCAUAAAGAGGAAGGUGGCUCAGUAAAAUUACAUGCAUCAUUGGGCCAGCGCACCCAGUGCCUGUGCAAGAACAUGGUGAAAUGGCAGUCCCCUUUGCCUUGGUUGAGAGCGCUGAAGGAUUAUUUCAGCUGCCUGUGAUGGAAGCUGAGGUCUCUCUCACAUCUGUGCUUCUUUUCUUCCUCCCUCAUGAUGCUCUGGACAGUAUGCCCCAGUCAACUUCCCUAGAAGCUAUUCUCAGAGUCUGUUACUCAAGAGACUCAGACUGAGACACUGAGCACACAUUAUUUAAUAUCACUCUAGGAAACGGUUAAUUUACACAUUUAUAAAUGUUGAAGGGAGAUGGGAGUCAGAAGGAUUCUUGAAUUAGUCAAACAGCCCAUUCAUACAUAAGUCAGAAAAUAGAAGGGAGGAUGGUACUUUAUUAUUUUGCCAUCCUGCUACCUUGUGUGUCUUCUAUUAGCACAGAUACACACAGGAUUAUGUAAACUAUAGAAAGGACUUUCAAUCCAGCUUUGCCCAUCAUAUCUUUAACCAUCUCCACGCCAUGGCCUGUUGAAGGCUGUAGUGUGGGGACUGAAUGGCACUUGGAAAGUGAACAUUAAAGUUCACUAAGUUUAACAUUAAGUUAAAAUUAAAAAUAGGAAGAGAAUGUGACGUAAGGCUGGAUAGAUGAGGUGAGAGAACUGUAUCUUCCCAACACAGUGAUGGACGGAACGUGGCACUUUAGAUCAUCAGCAGAGACAUCCAGCAAGAUAUAAUCAGAACACAUCAAUCAUUGAAAUUACGUUGAGCGUGUGCAUAAUUUAGAGACAAAGUACAUAGAAAGUUGAUAUCAAAGAUCCCAAACAGCAAUAAAGCCAUGAAACUGAGGUCCAGAGCUGAACUCCAGCAUGGUAGCCAUGAAAAGGGCUUGACAUUAACUUGGAGACUAAGUAUCUAAAAAUAUAUACUUAACUCUCAGUACUUAACUCUCAGUACUUAAUUCUCCUUUGGCUCCUCAAUAUAAUUUUCCAGAAGUUCCUCAAUAUAUCUUCAUCAAAGUAAUAAUCUCCGUUUAAAUAAUGCUGACAACUAAUAAUUUGUGGAGAAUAUUUUAAUGAUAAGAAAUUUGUUUCUCCUAAUCCAACUUCUCAGAGACUAAAACCUGGGCAUAACCUGGCAGUUUAGUCUUCAACAAGACGUGGUUUGGUUGCCCCAACCCAUGAGCAGAUGUAAAUAACAAUACCAAAUCUGUGUUUAAUGAAUUUCUUCUGUCAGGAUUUGACUGACCGGUUAACUGAUUGAUUGGCUGAUUGGUUGAUUGAUUAAUUGCCUAAUUGAAGUAGGGUUAAAUCCAGGGAUGAGGAUGAGAUGAAUCCCCCCUAACAAAAAUAACCUAGAACAGUGGCAGCCCAUACAGGCAAGUCCUAGGAUACAGUGAGCAACUGUCAAGUGUUAAGAUAGGCUGUGUGGUGGUUGCAGGGAUGGUCAGUGUUAAGAGCACCAGCUGAUCUCCCAGCGGACCCAAGUUCUCAACACCCACAAGGUAUCUCAGAACUGUCUGCAACUCCAAUUGCAAGGAAACUGAUUUCUUCUGGCCUCUGAAUGCACCAGGCACUACCAUGAUAUGUUAACAUACAGGUAGGCAAAAUAGUAUACACAUAAAAACAAUAAUAAUGUUUAACUAAAAGAAAAACCGGGGGGUUGGGGAUUUAGCUCAGUGGUAGAGUGCUUGCCUAGCAAGCGCAAGGCCCUGGGUUCGGUCCCCAGCUCCGAAAAAAAAAUGUGCUGUUCAGUGAACAUUUACAUCUCUCCAAAUUUGUAUGUUGAAAUCUAAUCACCGAUGUGACAUUAUUAGAACAUGGAGACUUUGGAUGUGAUUCAAAAACGGGUUCGUGUCCUCACGAAUGACAUCCUGUGAGCUCCCUUUCAUCCUUCUAUCAUGUGAGGAAAGGAUAAGACUAGUCUGUAAGUCAGAGUCCCUCAACAUACACAUAUGCAGUCACAUUGGCCUCGAAUUUCCCAGACUCCAGAAACAUGAGAAAUAAAUAUCUUUGUUCAGAAACACCCAAGCUACAAUAUUUUGUUAGAGCAGCUGAAAUGGGCCAAGUCAAGGAUCUCGUGGCUACUAUUUCAAAAGAGAAACAAAACCACCCCUGCAGAAGAACUUUCCAGAAGAAGCCUUCUAGAAAUAGGCAAGUUGCUUACAGAAAGGAACGCAAAUACAUAUCUCACUUACUCUCUGUGAAAAAGAUCUUUGCUCACUAGUAUACAGUGUAGGCACAUUCUGUCACACAUGAGCCUGAAGGCAUCGCUCCAGAUUUGGAGUGUGUUCUCUCAGUGUACCCACCAGCCUCGAGAGAUUUCAACUCAUUGGGUUUUUCACCCCCUGUAGUUCUGACAAAGCCAAAAUAUUCUUUCAAACUUAAUCUGCUAUGGCCUAGUUAUAUCUCAAAAGAUUGACUCAGACAUUGGGAAAUGUAUCUUAAAUGUGUUGAAUAACUUACAUAGCUGGAUCGUAUAUUACCUGAAGAACGUCCUUACUUGUAGACACAGACCAUUGAAGCUGUGCUUUAUAGAAGUAGACAUCUUGCCAAAAAGGCUUCAGAGCCAGGGCAGAAACAGAGGCCUCUGUACCCCUAGAUUAAUUCUCUUGCAUGAUUCCAUAGAACCUCUCUGAAUUUAUGAUACCAACACAGAAUCAAAUGUCCUAUCCUCAACAAUGUUAAUUAAAGGAACAGCCUGUGGUGAGCAAAGCUUACCUGAGGCGGGACAGUUUCUGCCAUCUAGUGGUUUGCUAGGCCAACUUAUGUAAGGUUAUCUUUUGGGGUUCAAGCUCUAAACUACAAAAUAAAGAGCUAAUUGUAGACAUCUUUCCAGGUAUUAAAAAAAAAUCUAGGGCUGGAGAAAUGGCUCAGUGGUUAAGAGCACCGACUGCUCUUCCCAAGGUCCUGAGUUCAAAUCCCAGCAACCACGUGGUGGCUCACAACCAUCUGUAAUGAGAUUUGAUGCCCUCUUCUGGUGUGUCUGAAGACAGCUACAGUGUACUCAUAUAUAAUAAAUAAAUAAAAUAUUAAAAAAAAUCUAACAAA
This is a non-coding RNA of Rattus norvegicus (Norway rat), 5343 nucleotides long. NCBI's taxonomy places the organism in Eukaryota, Metazoa, Chordata, Mammalia, Rodentia, Muridae. The record is from RefSeq and is a predicted model, not a curated record.